This 421-nucleotide ribosomal RNA is filed under the name uncultured bacterium. Its description in RNAcentral is "partial 16S ribosomal RNA". It matches the Rfam family "Bacterial small subunit ribosomal RNA", at positions 360 to 773 of the family's 1533-position model. The record is from RNAcentral.
AAUAUGUGACAGUGGGGGCGACCCUGAUCCAGCCAUGCCGCGUGUGUGAAGAAUGUUUUCGGAUUGUAAAUCACUUUAAGUCGGGAGGAAGGGCUUUAGGUUAAUACCCUGAAUGUUUGACGUUACCAACAGAAUAAGCACCGGCUGACUCUGUGCCAGCAGCCGAGGUAAUACAGAGGGUGCAAGAGUUAAUCGGAACUACUGGGCGUAACGAGCGCGUAGGUGGUUCAGUAAGAUGGGUGUGAAAUCCCCGGGCUUAACCUGGGAACUGCUUUCAUAACUGCUGAGCUAGAGUACGGUAGAGGGUAGUGGAAUUUCCUGUGUAGCGGUGAAAUGCGUAGAUAUAGGAAGGAACACCAGUGGCGAAGGCGACUACCUGGACUGAUACUGACACUGAGGUGCGAAAGCGUGGGGAGCAAAC